GAUGAACGCUGGCGGCGUGCCUAAUACAUGCAAGUCGAGCGAACGGACGAGAAGCUUGCUUCUCUGAUGUUAGCGGCGGACGGGUGAGUAACACGUGGAUAACCUACCUAUAAGACUGGGAUAACUUCGGGAAACCGUAGCUAAUACCGGAUAAUAUUUUGAACCGCAUGGUUCAAAAGUGAAAGACGGUCUUGCUGUCACUUAUAGAUGGAUCCGCGCUGCAUUAGCUAGUUGGUAAGGUAACGGCUUACCAAGGCAACGAUGCAUAGCCGACCUGAGAGGGUGGUCGGCCACACUGGAACUGAGACACGGUCCAGACUCCUACGGGAGGCAGCAGUAGGGAAUCUUCCGCAAUGGGCGAAAGCCUGACGGAGCAACGCCGCGUGAGUGAUGAAGGUCUUCGGAUCGUAAAACUCUGUUAUUAGGGAAGAACAUAUGUGUAAGUAACUGUGCACAUCUUGACGGUACCUAAUCAGAAAGCCGCGGCUAACUACGUG
RNAcentral lists this ribosomal RNA (497 nucleotides) under uncultured bacterium. RNAcentral's name for it is "partial 16S ribosomal RNA". It matches the Rfam family "Bacterial small subunit ribosomal RNA", at positions 28 to 507 of the family's 1533-position model. The record is from RNAcentral.